Long non-coding RNA from Peromyscus maniculatus bairdii (prairie deer mouse), 1919 nucleotides. RefSeq lists it as uncharacterized. The record is from RefSeq and is a predicted model, not a curated record. Lineage: Eukaryota; Metazoa; Chordata; Mammalia; Rodentia; Cricetidae.
AGCAAUCACAAAGAGCUCUUUGCCAUGUCAGACUACCUUUGGUUUGAAGAAAUACCUUUCCCUGUUAUAGGGUAUAAAAAAGAAAUACUUGAAGCAAUUCAUGAUAAAUUUGUGAUCAGAGAUGAAGACACAGUCAUACUGACUCACCCUAAAUCAGGAACUAAUUGGCUGACCGAGAUUGUCUGCUUGAUUCAGACCAAGGGGAAACAUGAGUGGGUCCAAUCUGUGCCUACCUGGGAACACUCACCCUGGAUAGAGUCUGAAGAUGGAUAUCAAACAUUAAUCAAUAAGGAAGGACCACGCCUCAUCACUUCCCACCUUUCCAUCCAUCUUUUCCCCAAGUCUUUCUUCAGUUCCAAGGCCAAGGUCCAGUGUUUGACAAAUCUUUUACAAAAUGGUCUUUGAACUUAUGCUACCAUAACAGGCUCUGGAGUUGUUGAUGAUAUGCACUCUGAUGGUGUAGGUUGGGAGAGGGAAGCUGGGAUUCUCAUGCACUAGGUGAUGCUGUUGUGUCCCCUCCUCAGACUACAUCAGAGUACCAGGAUGUCAAGCACCACACAGUGAUCCUGGGCAGAUAUACAAGAGAAUAUGAAAUAUCAACUAGAGCAUUCAAGAACUACACAUACAGGUCAAAUUUUAGUGUACAGUGUAUAUUACUGUUUUCUUGUCAUAACAGUCAAUUAGUUAAUUCCAAUUCUACACAUAGCCCAUGCCCUGUGGUAAAUCACUCAAGGCAGAGUUGCUCAUAGGGGAAGCAGCCUGACCAGGCAUCAGUGCUCUAGUCAUGGAGAUUGCUCAGCAGUCAUGGCUCAUCUGUACCCACCAUGUCCUGCUGUGUAUAGCUGUCCAUUGAGAUCAGUAGCCACAGGAGUCACCCAUGUCACUGAUGGAGGAUCUCCAUAAGAGAUCAGAGAUAUCCAGGUUCUCACUUAUCAUAGCUUCUUGUUAGUAAGAAAGUUUUCUGGAAGUCCCUCCACCAUGGAACCUAAAAAUAUUUUAUGCUUAAACUACAAAGACAAACUUUGAAAAAUAAUUUCUCUUGAAAAUAUCACAAUGAAGUUGGGACCAUUCACUUUUAUGCGAGUAUCUUAUCUGGAUUUGGCAAACCCUUGGCUGGAGAAAUUAAUGCCUAAAGAGAUGGAUUCUAGAAUAAUGUCUCAAAGAACAUUGGUACAAAAUAUAAAUUUUAUUUUAUUAAUAAUUAUUUUUAACUUAUUUCUUUUAUUUUUGAGAUUAUAAUAUAAUUACCUAUAUCAUCACCCCUUCCUCUUCUUAUCUUCAAGCCCACCCAUAUACCCCUGCUUUCUCUCUUUCAAAUAUUUGGUCUCUCUUUUCAUGAAUUGUUGUUAUAUCUGUUAUGUAUCUGCAUAUUCCUAAAUACUUAAGUAUAACCUGCUCCAUUUAUACAAUGUUACUUGUAACUCUGUUUUCAGGGGUGAGCAUUUGUUAUUGGUAACCAAUUGUUAUGCAUUUCCCAGAGUAGGUCGAUUUCUCCCACUCUCAGCCUUUCUUAGUUGCCUGUACAUCUUUGUGUUCACCAUUGUGCAAUGACACAUUAGCUUUAAGUGCUGCAUCAUGAUUAUUUUGAGAGGUUGUAUUUGGUAGUUAGAGUUACAGAAAUCAAUUUGUCAUUUUGCAGAUAGAUUUAGCACAGUACUCAUCACUCUGAAUAUGUAAGAUGUUCUUUUCCAUUGGAUGGAUGGUCUUUCACAGUGUUAAGUUAUUGAUCUUUACAACUAUUGAAUCAGUCUUGGUUUGUUGUUGUUGUUUUGUUUUUUACAAUAAUUGUGACCUCAUUCAUUUUGCUGUUAUAUUUUUGUAAAUCAAAUGAAAUUAUAAAAGAGGUUUCUGACUAUAGAUAUUUUACACUUAUGUAUAUAUUUUGUCCAAAAAAGUAAUAAAUGUUUUUAGAUUUUGUA